GGGUCUAUUUCUAAUGUAUAUUCCGCACAGUGAUGCGAGAAGGGUGAGGGGAGGGUGAUGAAAAUGGAGUUUUGGAAGUCAGAGAAUGAGUUUCUCUGUUAUGUGUAAUACGUGAUGGAAUUCCGUUUUUUAUCAGGAGACUCCUUUCUUCCAGAGAGUCGAGAGUCGUGUGUGUACCCUCUCCUUUGUCUCCACCAUGAUCCUCCCUCCCAAUCCAAAACCAAUUGCCUGUCCAAAACGUGCCUGCAGAAAAACCGAUCCAAAACGAAUUGCCUGUCCAAAACGUGUCUGCAGAAAAACCGUUUCUUGCCCCCUUUGCCAAAACUUUUGUCGCCUUGUACACGUUGCCAUUGCUAAAAACAUUUCUUUUCUCUCUUAUUUUUUUAAAAAAAAAGAAUAUAGAAAAUAAAAUAAAAAUCUAAUAAUAAUAAUAAAGCUAAAUCAAAUAAUAAAAUAAAAAAAAAAAAAAGACACAAACAAAGACUAAGUCCUAUUCUUCAGUCACC
Molecule: long non-coding RNA, 506 nt
Filed under: Vigna radiata
Lineage: Eukaryota; Viridiplantae; Streptophyta; Magnoliopsida; Fabales; Fabaceae
Description: long non-coding RNA (VRAD_LNC003438)
Source: RNAcentral